UUUUAUUUCGAACUAAGACUCUGUAAAAACCUUAGAAAGCUAUGGUCUGAAUCUUGCCAGACGUGUCAAUCUGUUACAUACGUAUGCUGUUAGACAGAUUUUGCGCGUUGAGGACGGUAAUACGAAUACUGUGGGUUUUAUCCAGGGCCGUACGCAGAAUUUUUUACUGAGGGAAGGGGGAACCGCUGAGGAUUACACAGUCACUAAUGAACUAUAAGUGAAGACCUGUAUGAGUAUCAUAUGAUUCUGAAGGAACUGAUGGCAGUUAUAGAGGUACAGACACUUGCAAGCAAGGGGAAAGCAAGGAUUACUUGAGAAAAUCGUUUUAUUAAUAGUUUAACAAUUUGUACAAGUGCUAUGUUUUAAAAGCAAUACAAUUUAUGUAAUAUAUAUUUUUGGAAGGUAUAAUUAUUUUAUAUUCUUUAAAAGAUAUAAGAUUAUUAAUUUAAUUAAAUGAGCAAAUAAGAUAUUGAUUUGAUCAUAACAUUCACACAUAAAUAUGGCAUAUUUAAGAUGAAAGGAAAUUUUUUAACGCAUUGACUUGUUUGUGUUUGACAUGAAACAAUAACUUGUUUGUAUAUAAAAUAAAAUAUCAUACACAUUUUCAUACUGUUUAAAGUAACUAUAUACAAUGUACAACUAAUAACUAUAAAUAAAUACAUGUGUUUUAAUACAUUUAUUACAAUGUUAUAAUACUUUUUUUAAAAUAAAGAUUUCAGAUUCAGACGAAACUUUGCCGCCAUCUGACAAAGAAACACAGCCACCUCUGGAGGAAUGUGGUCAGGAAGUUGAAUGGUCCCAGUCGCCAUUAGGAUAUUUUGGCCACGUUUUUCGGAGAAAAAGUGGGAAUAUUGUGGUGAUGUGCGUCUGUCCGUCCGUCCUGGCCACCUGCUCCUCCUACACUAUUAGCACUAGAACCUUGAAACGUACAUAAGUGGUAGCUAUGAGCAUAUGUGCGACAGUGAU
Long non-coding RNA from Dreissena polymorpha, 966 nucleotides. RefSeq lists it as uncharacterized. The record is from RefSeq and is a predicted model, not a curated record. The transcript is spliced from 3 exons. Lineage: Eukaryota; Metazoa; Mollusca; Bivalvia; Myida; Dreissenidae.